AUUCUGGUUUGUGUGGGACUGA
Molecule: microRNA, 22 nt
Filed under: Callithrix jacchus (white-tufted-ear marmoset)
Lineage: Eukaryota; Metazoa; Chordata; Mammalia; Primates; Cebidae
Description: cja-miR-584
Gene: cja-miR-584
Source: miRBase by way of RNAcentral